CCUACGGGAGGCAGCAGUAGGGAAUAUUGGGCAAUGGGAGGCAACUCUGACCCAGCCAUGCCGCGUGCAGGAUGAAGGCGUUAUGCGUUGUAAACUGCUUUUAUAUAGGAAGAAAUAGACCUUGCGAGGUAAGUUGACGGUACUAUAUGAAUAAGCACCGGCUAACUCCGUGCCAGCAGCCGCGGUAAUACGGAGGGUGCAAGCGUUGUCCGGAUUUAUUGGGUUUAAAGGGUGCGUAGGCGGUUUAUUAAGUCAGUGGUGAAAGACGGUCGCUCAACGAUUACAGUGCCAUUGAUACUGGUAGACUUGAGUAUGAUUGAGGUAGCUGGAAUGGAUAGUGUAGCGGUGAAAUGCAUAGAUAUUAUCCAGAACACCAAUUGCGUAGGCAAGUUACUAAGUCAUAACUGACGCUGAGGCACGAAAGUGUGGGUAUCAAACAGGAUUAGAUACCCUGGUAGUCCACACUGUAAACGAUGAUAACUAACUGUUGGCUUUCGGGUCAGUGGUACAGAGAAAUCGUUAAGUUAAUCCACCUGGGGAGUACGCCGGCAACGGUGAAACUUAAANGAAAUUGACGG
RNAcentral lists this ribosomal RNA (578 nucleotides) under uncultured bacterium. Its description in RNAcentral is "bacterial SSU rRNA". It matches the Rfam family "Bacterial small subunit ribosomal RNA", at positions 338 to 916 of the family's 1533-position model. The record is from RNAcentral.